CGGCGAGUGAAGAGGGAAUAGUUCAGCAUGGAAAUUGGGACCCUCGGUCUUGAAUUGUAGUCUCGAGAUGCAUUACCAACAGAGGCGCAGGUGUAAGCCUUCUGGAAAGGAGCACCACUUAGGGUGAGAGUCCCGUUUGUCACCUGCAGUCCGCUGUGUAAGGUGUGCCUUCUCUGAGUCACGCUCCUCGGAACUGGAACGCAAAUUGGGUGGUAAAUUUCAUCUCAAACUCAAUAUAGGGUUGAGACCGAUAGCAAACAAGUACCAUGAGGGAAAGGUGAAAAGGACUUUGAAAAGAGAGUUAAAAGUGCCUGAAAUCGCUGAAAAGGAAGCGAAUGGAGUCAGCAAUGCUUGGCGAAAUCUUUGGCGCACUGGCGCGAGUGCUCGCUGCUUCAGCGCAAGUUGAGUGGCAGCUUCGAACGUCGUGUGCGCUGUGCCUUUGGCCUUGCGCGUCAAUGCCAGUCCGCAAACGGUGAAAUCCUUGGGGACAUGUCAACUCCUCGUGAGGUGUGAAUGUGCCCUCUGGAACCCAUUUGCGAACUGAUGGGUGGAUGUCUGGUUGCAGUGCUCUGUCUCACAGGGCUCUCCCUGACAUUCCAACAGCGACCAAAUGAUUCCAUUCGACCCGUCUUGAAACACGGACCAAGGAGUCUAACAUAUGUGCAAGUCCAAGGGUGGUAAACCUUCGGGCGCAAUGAAAGUGACGGCUGGGAUUUUUGCACCAGCAACCGACCAAUCAACUGAGUGAGGUUUGGGUAUGAGCAUAUCUGUUAGGACCCGAAAGAUGGUGAACUAUGCCUGAGAAGGGCAAACUCAGGGGAAACUCUGAUGGAGGCUCGUAGCGGUACUGACGUGCAAAUCGUUCGUCACACUUGGGUAUAGGGGCGAAAGACUAAUCGAACCAUCUAGUAGCUGGUUCCCUCCGAAGUUUCCCUCAGGAUAGCUGGAGUUGAUCAGUUUUAUCAGGUAAAGCGAAUGAUUAGAGGAAUCGGGGGCACGUCGCCCUCGACCUAUUCUCAAACUUUAAAUGGGUAAGAUCCAGUGGUUACUUGCUUGAACUUCUGGGAUAAAUGACAACUCUAAGUGGGCCAUUUUUGGUAAGCAGAACCGGCGAUGAGGGAUGAACCUAACGUUGGGUUAAGGUGCUUAACUGCUCGCUCAUCGGAUACCAUAAAGGGUGUUGGUUCAUUUUAACAGCAGGACGGUGGUCAUGGAAGUCGAAAUCCGCUAAGGAGUGUGUAACAACUCACCUGCCGAAUGGACUAGCCCCGAAAAUGGAUGGCGCUGAAGCGGGCCACCGAUACCCCACCAUUG
This 1314-nucleotide ribosomal RNA is filed under the name Prorocentrum sp. RNAcentral's name for it is "LSU rRNA". It matches the Rfam family "Eukaryotic large subunit ribosomal RNA", at positions 87 to 1357 of the family's 3401-position model. The record is from RNAcentral. Lineage: Eukaryota; Dinophyceae; Prorocentrales; Prorocentraceae.